CUCAAUUUUGCUGUGAACUUAUAACUGCUCCCCCAAACAAGUUAAUUCCUUAAAAAAAAAAAAAAAAGAAUGAAAAAGGAACUGAGAAUUCUCUCCAACAAAAGGUAAAAUGACAAGGAAUAUCAGGCUGAACUCCCUUCCGGAAAUGAAAGAAAUCAC
This 159-nucleotide long non-coding RNA is filed under the name Capra hircus (goat). RNAcentral's name for it is "NPPA antisense RNA 1 conserved region 2 (ENSCHIG00000006471.1)". It matches the Rfam family "NPPA antisense RNA 1 conserved region 2". The record is from RNAcentral. Lineage: Eukaryota; Metazoa; Chordata; Mammalia; Artiodactyla; Bovidae.